RNAcentral lists this long non-coding RNA (15124 nucleotides) under Fragaria vesca (wild strawberry). Its description in RNAcentral is "long non-coding RNA (FVES_LNC001730)". The record is from RNAcentral. Lineage: Eukaryota; Viridiplantae; Streptophyta; Magnoliopsida; Rosales; Rosaceae.
AGGAAGAAGUAAGUUAGUCCUAACAUGUCAGUCGACCUGAGAAUCUACACAGAAGCGACAGAACUAUAGCAACCAAAUUGCAAACACAGAACAACACACUUCCAAUUACUUCAUCACAAACAUUAUCAAACAGUAACAACAUUUGAUCAUCUUAUCCAUAUAUUGUAUAUAACCCAAUGGCAGUUGACACACUAUAAAGUUGUUUAAAAUCAAACACUCAAGAAUUAUAACAACUGUGCAAAGUGUCAACAUUCAUCCAAAUCACACUACAUAAGCUCAUCUAUAAAAUAUAUCUAGCUACUCAUUAUCAAUGUUCAACCCAUACAACAACAAUGGGAAUGCAUGCACAACUGAUGUAUCACACUGAACUAAGCUGAAAACCAGAACACCCCAACUCACUUGUAUGAAAUACAUGGAACAAGAACGAAAAACAAAAUGUGAGAGUUUUACAUUCACUACAUCAAAACUGGCGAGAUUUUACCUCAUGUAUGCGCACCAUUACCAUUCACAUCCAAUUCCACUUCCCCGCCAGCCUUGUUCCUAACCACUUUACCCUCUUCUCUAACCUCCUCCUCCUCCUCAUCAGAAUCCAAAGUAAACUGCCCCUGACUAUCAAUCUGAUGCUGCAUUUCCGCCCCAAGCGGCUUAUACCUCGAAAUAUCACCCCCACCACCACCACCUCCUGUCUUCCUCACCACAACCGAAUACACCCCAACAACCAAAACCACAAUCAGAGCCAAAUGGCAGUUAAACUGCAGCGUCGCGAUAGCUCUCGCCCUAUGAUACUCCGGAUGGCCCUUACACUUGACCGUAUAAUUCCCCCUGCUCUUCUCCUUCAACACGCACCCGUGCGCCAUCCAACGCGUGUAAAUCGAAAGCCCCAUUUGAAAGAACCACAGCCCCUGCAGCACCAGCCCCACUCCUCGAACCAAGUUGGGGAUUACCGAACUAGAGUUGUUGCGCAAUUGAAGAAGCGUGCCGAACAAGCAGACGAAGAUCGGCACCAGCAGCAUGUCGAAGUAGCGGUUCUCGAUUCCGACGGUGUCUUUUCUCCGGAGAUAAAAGUACAUGAACUCUUCGACGAACGCGAAAAGGCCGAUCAGGUUGAGGAGGGAGGAAGGGAAGGAGGAGUUGUUGAGGGUGAGGAGGCCGGUGAGGGAGUAGAGGAGGAAGAGGGCGGCGAUCGCGGCGACCUGGAGCUGCUGGGCCGACCCGACCCGGUCGUGGGAGUUGACGGCGUCGAAGAAGGAGAUGAGGGAGUUGAGGAUGAAGAGGAAGGAGAGGAGGGAAGCGGAGAGGAAGUAGAUGAAGGAGGAUCUGGACGGCGUCGUUUGGGGUUUGGAUUGGGGGAGAUUGGAGGGUGGAGAUGAGGUGGUGGUGGAAGCGAUGGCUUCGAAUGUGCCCAUGAGGAUGAGGCCGAAGCCUGCGGCAGCGAAGGUGAGGAAUCCCAUGGCUUGGUUCCUUCCUUUCUCGGGUCAGCAGACUUUGAUAUCUGAGACGAUCGGGGUCUUGUGGCGCCUUGUUGUGAAGGGUGCGUGUCAUGGUGGACUUUUUCUUUUUGUUUUUGUCAGCGGAAGCAAUGUAUUUAGAUGGUCCAAAAAAGACGACUUAAUACAACCUAACAUAGUGGACUAUAACUCCAGCGUUAUUCGAGACGGUCUGUUACAUGCGUUGUGCAAUGACAUCCGGCGAGUCUAAGUUAGGGUGAUUCUAAGUUUAUUAUUGACCUUAUUAAUAAUAGGUCCCCCUCUCCGUGGAGACUCCUUACUCUUCUUAGUGAUGUUGGCUGGAUGGCUUCUAAGUUUGAAGAGAUCACCUUUAAGUAUGUCCCUUGGGAAGUAAAUUUUGUGGCUGAUGCAAUGGCUAGCUUGGGGCAUCAGGUCCCAUAUCCAACUCUCUCGAAUCGCAAGCUCCCACUCUCUGCGUUUAAUGCUUUUAAUUUUGAUCGUUUUAAUAUAAGCUGUUGUAGAGGUUUCUCUUUGUAAUUUCCUUUUUCUCAUAAAAAAAAACAUAGUGGACUGUUGAGUAUUUUUUAUUUGUGAUGAGAAAAAUGUAAGAGUAUGAGGAGGAUGGUUCUGUGAAAACGGGAGCGGUCUGGUGUAGUAGGCUGCCUUCAGAUGGAUCCGAUCAUGGACGGGCACGUCGGGUUGGUUCGAUUUAGCGGUUAAUACAAAGCAAAACCACGACUAUCUUUCGUUUCUAGCUUAUUUGAAUGAAAUGAUGUUGCAUACACCAAAAGAGAAAAACAAUGAAACCAAACUAGAGAAACAGAAACAAAAUGCCUUAGCUUCAACACUUUCUGUGAUAAAAUUAGCUUCUAUGUGUAUAUGUUGAAAGAUGCAAACUUGAACAUAAGAAACAAAAAGCUACAAAAUAUUUGAACAAGUGACUUCAAACACUAUGAUAUAAUGUAAUAAAACGGGUGAGAGCUCGGUUAAAGUUUCGCCUAAAUAGACUAUGAGGUCUUAACCUCACCAACCUUUUGGAUUAGAUCCGAUACUUCUUAACUAUAUAAUACUAUGAUGACACAUGUAGUUAUUCGAAAUGUAUGACACAUGCAUUAUGUCGAAAUAAGCAUAUGAUCUAUGUACAUAACAUAUACAUAAUCAUCAUGUGUUUACAUAUACAAACAUGCAUGAACGUAAAAUCUAUAGAAUUUAUAAACUAAUGACUUAUUUGUAAAUAACCUCGAGUUCAAUUACUUAGGAGGGGAUAGUAGAUAUAUUAUUGAUUUCAUAUGAUACUAUACGACUCAUAUGGAGGAUAUCUUCUUGUAUCAACAAUUCAUUCAACUUCAUUAUCCACGUUUCAUUGGGUUCUUCUAUCUCAAGCAAGUACCUGUCACCAGUAAACUUCACUCAUCUUAUCAGUUAUGGUCUUGACUUUGUGAUCUUGACAAUUCAUGUGAAACAUCUCUAACAAGACGAAAUCAUUGAAAUGAAAAAGAAAAUAUAGAAGGGGAGAGAAAAAUGUGGGCUGGAUAAGAUAAAGGCAUUAUCCGGAUAGGCCCAAACCGAUACAGCGGACCCACCUCCUUGCUAUCUUCUACAUUUCUAUGUUCUAUGAUUCGCUACACACAACCAUAUAGUCACCUUGCUCUAGCAAAUUAGAAAUGAUCAAAAUUGCCUCUUAUUGGUUCAGCUCUAGCUGUAGAAACAACUCCCACUAGACCGCGUUGCAGAGGAUACAACCUCCCCGUGAACUUUCUUGUGUAUAAAUACUUGGAUUCUGGUCCGGUACUGUACAAACUCGUCUCCUUUAUUUCUGUUCACGAAGACCAAGAUCAAAACCAGAGAGUCAUGAAGAUUACAGCGCUUGUUCAUUUGGUUUCUGUAAUCUACGUGGUUUCUGUGUUGCUGGGUAUGCAUGAAGCUGUACACGGGAGGCUUCUAUCAGCGAAGGAUAAACCCAGCCCCAAAAAUGCUGCUGCUACUGCUCGUUGGCUUGUCUCUCAGAACUCCUGGGGUGUCUUGAAGUAAUUUUACUCUCUAUCUCUAUCUCUGUGCUUCUAUCUUAUUGUUACAGUAAUAAUUGAUCAGGGCACCUCAGCUUUCUUAGAGUAACUGGUUUUUUCUGAGGCUGCUGAUUGAGGAGGAGGAAUUAAUUUAUUGAAAUUUUUAUUGGCUAUUUGAUUAGUUAGAGAUUCCAUUUUGUAUGGUAAUGAAAUCGGGUGUUUAGGUACAUAGAUUUUUUUUUGAUUGACUUAGUUGGAACAAGAUGGUUGCUAUAAAUCAGGUUGAAGAAAUAAAGACAGGAACUUUACUGUUGUUGAAAUUUUUCAGGAUGUCAUCCUAUCAGUAAGAUCUGAAAAGAUUAUUCAUUUUGGCUGAAAAAAAGAAGAAGUGUGAUAUGGAAAGUGAAACUGUCUGCUGCUUUCCAAGCUUGUAAAGAUUUUGACUUGUGUUUGCUUAUGUAUUAUCUUUGUGUUUGGAAGCAUGGAUUUGAAAUUUGAAUCUUACUUCUGGUUUCUGUGUUUGCAGUACCAUCUCAGGUGAAUUGGGAGGAGCACCCUUUGGGUAAGAUUUUAUCUUUUAUAAUUUUGUGACUAUUGUCUAUGUUAUCCUAGUCCUCAUCGAUGAUGUGUAUGUGUUUCAGCUUGGCUCUUUUAGAUAAUAUUACUAGUUUUGGUGUCUUUUUUGUCACACAUUAAGUUCAAGUAUAGCUCAUAACUGAAUAGUAUUAGAACUGGAUUGAGCCCGAACCCUUCUUUCUUUGCGCUCCUUGAAAGAAAAUAUUGUCCAAAAAAUUCAGAUCACCAUUGACAAAUGACAAGACAGUGUCUGUGUGUGUUACACAUAUCGUUCUCUGAUUAACAGCUUCAUUCCUAUGCCUUGCUGGACAAUUGUUUUCUAUUUGCCUCAGAAUCUUGUAUCACUUGUUUAUUUGUUACUGCAACUCCUAUGAUGUUUCUGCAUCAAAUUGAUCAUCAAAUACAAUGCAGGAAUGUGGUUUCAUUUAGCGAUGGGGAACCUGGAAAAGGCAGCGGUAUCCCAUACUUCUACUUGACAACUCUUGAUCCGACUGCAAGAAAUGCAGGGAAAGACCAAAGGGCUUCAUUGACAAUUAGUGAGCAUCCUAUUGGAACCUGUGGCAAAGUUGACCCUGAGAAUCCCACCUGUGCAAAGAUUACACUUACAGGAAAGGUGUGUAGCAACUUUGAGUUGAUUCAUUACAUGCUAAAAUAACAGAUAUGUAAAAAGAGGUAUUACGCUAAGUUUACUGACCCAGAGUUUCUGAUUUUAGUUGAGGUAUGCCAAUGGAAGUCCCAAAGAAAAAGAAAUUGCUAAAAAGGCCUUGUUCUCAAAGCAUCCAGAGAUGAAAUGUAAGUACACACAAUAUGGGGUAGAAACACAAUAUUACAUCUUUUGUGUCUAUAACCACCUUCUCACCAUUUCAUUUGUUGCUCAUGAACUAUAUUGAUCUUUAUUAUUGUUGGAUGAUUAACAGACUGGCCCAAGGGUCACAACUUCCAGUUCUUCAAAUUAGACAUCGAGAAUAUCUUUUUGAUUGAUUGGUUUGGGGGUCCAAAACCUCUCACAGUGGACCAAUACCUUCAAGCCAAAUUGUAAGUGUCAAGAGGACAAAAUAGAGAAGAUAAUAUACAGUAGAACCAAAAACAUGAAUGUAAUCUGAUGAAUAAAUGAAGAAAUAAUACGGUUUAGUGUCUCAACUUUAAAGUGUUUAUCUUUAAUUUCCUUUUCUUAUCCUACUUCCUGAAAUUGAUUUUGGUCCUCUACAGGACAGAACAUGCCUUCAACCUGUGAUUGAUCAUCCGGCUGUGGUUCAGCUUGAAUUCGAAUUGUUAUGAGUUGGAUCAUUUGGAUUGUGUACAGUGAACCUGUGUAAAUGAAAAGAAACAAAUGUAUAUAAUCAUGUAUUUCUAUGAAUUGUCACAGAAAUCUGCUAUCCUAUAAUUUGAUAAAAUAACAGGAGGGAACAUUAUUUGUACAAGGGAGUUCAAUUUUCUGUGUUGUAAGCUGAAAAAAAGUGAUACAGUGGAAAUUGGCAAGCUCUUCAUUUGUGUUUGAUUCAUAUAUUCCACCUUAUAGAGAUUUUCUCAUGUAAGGACAUCCUUAUUUAUUCUUAUGAUGCGGAUUUUCACUUUAGUCUUUAGGUACUAAUGUGUAGAUCAUCUAUACAAAUUUUCAGUCAAUUUGAUAAUCAUUAAAACACUCAAACUCGAUUAAACCAAUAGACAAACUGAAUUCUGUUAAACUUGAGCCGUUCAUGUUUAAAACAGGAAAAUACAAUUUUGAGGGCCUUAACAAUUAUUAAAUUAGAAAUCUGCACCAUAUGAAUAAAUAAAGACAUCCUUAGUAGACACAAGACAAAGUGAAUAUUCAAGAACAAACAUCCUAUGUGGAAUCAGAAUUCCUUAUUCGACUAGCAUUACACCAAGACACACACAAAGUGAAUAUUCUAGAACAACAUUCUAUUAUCAUAAAUAUUUUUCACAAAUUUAUGUUCAAAUCAACGACAUUCUACUAUCAGAAGAGACCCAAGCCCCAACAUAACGUCUGUGUCACUCAUGUUCGAAUCAUAGACAUUCUAUUAUUACUAGAGCCCCAACAUGACCCAAUAUAACGUUCGUGUCACGUCCGCGCCACGCUGUAUGUUUCCGCUAGACCAACCCAACUAGAAUUCAUUGAAGUUGAUUAUGAGCUUCAUUUCAUUUUAUUUUGUUAGAAAUUCUUGCGUGCAUGACGUGUAUUUACACGACGCAAUUUUAACCGUUUAUAACAAUUCAUAUGUUUGACCACCAUAUUUCUAUAUUAUUUCAUCUAAUUCUGACCAUCCAUGUAUGUAUGUGAACUCAUGUGUGACAAUUCCACCCAGAAGGUUCCUUAUUUUAUACAUAUAUAUAUAUAUAUAUAUAUAUAUAUAUAUAUAUGAUGAUAUAUGAAGAUAUCACGAGCGAGUCACGUGAGUAAGGAUAGAGAUAGAUAGUCGUUACUGGAUUCGUUAACCAUAUCACCCGCCUGAACUUGAAGUCUUCACUCUUCACAAUCACCAACGAUGCACCUCUUCAUCUUCGUCUUCAAAUUCUAAGCUCCCCCUAAAAAUGUUGCACCCCCUAACUCACCUUCCCUCCUCUCUCCCGCCAAAAACCCUAACCGACCUCCACUCCUUCUCCCCCUUCUUCUCCUUCCCCAAACCCCCCAAACCCUCCCAAUUCACCAUCCGGAGCUCCGCCGCCGACUCCAAAACCCUCGCCGCCAAUUCCGCCAUCCAACGAAUCGCGGAGAAGCUCCGCAGCCUCGGGUUCACCGAAGACAACAAUAAACCCGACUCCAAACCCGGCCCAAGCUCCGCCGGCGAAAUCUUCGUCCCUCUGCCGGAGACUCUCCCCAAGUACCGCGUCGGCCACACUAUCGACCCGAGCUGGAGCACGCCGGAGAAGCCGGUCCCGGCGCCGGGGACCGGGAGGGCGAUUUCGAGGUUUCAUGAGAUGAGGAGGGAGCUGAAGAGGCUGGAGGAGGUGGAGGAGAUGGAGAGGAAGAAGGAGGGGAAGAAGAAGGAGGAGAAGGUGCCAACGUUGGCGGAGAUGAGCUUGUCUACGGCGGAGCUGAGGCGGUUGAGGACGGUUGGGAUUGAGCUGAAGAAGAAGGUGAGAGUUGGGAAGGCUGGGAUUACUGAGGGGAUUGUGAAUGGGAUUCAUGAGAAUUGGCGGCGGUCGGAGGUUGUGAAGCUUGUUUGUGAGGAUUUGUGUAGGUUGAACAUGAAGAGGACUCAUGACUUGUUGGAGGUAAGAAUCCGUUUUCGCUAUUUGAGUUGUACAUGACUUUUCGAUAUGGGGAUUGUUUGUUUGCAAUGUGUUUUUACUUGUUGCAGAUUUGAAUUAUAUCGGAAAUGUGAUAUAGUGUGAUUGUUUAUAUAACGGAGUUAGUUAAUUUUAGUUUUUGUUGGUGACAUUAUCAGAGGAAAACUGGAGGGUUGGUUGUUUGGAGGUCAGGAGCGAAGAUAAUUUUGUAUAGGGGGGUGAACUAUAAGUAUCCUUACUUUUUAAAGGGUAAAAAGCGUGAAGAUUCGACAAGUGAUGAUUCUGGUGAUGCGGUAGUUAAUGCUGGAGGAACCGAUGAAGCAAACUCUGUGACAGGACCAAGUCCAACUGAUGAAAAAACUCAGCCAGCCUUAAUACAAGGGGUUGGUUUGGCAAAUAGGUUUCGGUUUCAGCUUCCAGGCGAGGCAGAACUUGCUGAAGAAGCUGACCGCAUGUUAGAGGGACUUGGUCCGCGGUUUAAUGAUUGGUGGGGAUAUGAACCUCUACCGGUUGAUGGGGACCUUCUACCAGCUGUUGUACCUGGAUACAGGAAGCCUUUCCGACUUCUUCCGUAUGGCUUGCAACCUAAGCUAACAGAUGAUGAAAUGACCACAAUAAGGAGACUUGCCCGACCCUUGCCAACUCAUUUUGCAUUAGGUUAGUUUGGAUUAUGAUGUCGCUACUCUUACUCUCUUCAGCCAACAUUUGUGUUUACUAGCUUUUCUCCCUAUACAGGAAGAAACAGAAAGCUUCAAGGGUUGGCUACGUCCAUUGUCAAACUCUGGGAAAAAUGUGAGAUUGCCAAAGUAGCUGUUAAAAGAGGGGUUCAGAACACUAAUUGCGAGCUGAUGGCUGAAGAGUUGAAGGUGUGAAUAUUUCUUCAAUGUAUCUAUAUUCUAUUUAUUGGAACCAGAACGCAUUAUGGCUGUUGCUUAACUUAGAACAUGUUCUUUGGCAGAGGCUGACUGGAGGAACUCUGAUUGCUCGGGACAAGGAAUUUAUUGUUUUAUACAGGGGAAAGGAUUUUCUGCCUCCUGCAGUUUCCUCUGCCAUAGAAGAGCGGAGGAAGGCUGUAAUGUAUGCAGAUAAUCGGAGUAGGAAGUUGAGGAUUUCUGCCACAACGGCACAGGAUCAUGAAUCCAGGACUGAACUGGAAACCAAAGAUGAUCUGACCGGUGGUCUUCCAUCUGAAAAAAGAAAGCUAAAAUCUACUGAGGCAGCUGCCAGUAGGGCCAGCAUUAAAUUGUCCAUGGUAUGACUUUCUGUGAUGCUACAUUUACAACACUUUUGGUUCAGCUUUUUUGUCUUACAAAUGGCACAUAUGCAAUGAACAGGCUUUAGAAAAGAGGGAAAAAGCAGAGAAACUUCUAGCGGAGCUGGAGAAAGCAGAGAGUCCCCAGCAACCUGAAAUAGAUAAAGAAGGUAUAACUGAAGAGGAAAGAUAUAUGCUAAGGAAGGUUGGCUUGAAAAUGAAGCCUUUCCUACUAAUGGGUGAGUUAUACUAUCUUUUUUCUUGGACUCAGCAGCUGUUCUAUCAUUGAUUCCUAUUAUAGGACUGAAUCAUAGGCCAUAUUAAAAAUCCAUCAAACUAUGCGGCUCCUUCAGCAUGAUUGCCAAGAAAGAUUAAUAAAGUCUCUUAAAAUGUUCAGGUCGACGAGGAGUAUUUGAUGGGACAAUUGAAAACAUGCAUCUCCAUUGGAAAUAUAGGGAGCUCGUGAAGAUUAUUUGUAAUGAGAAAAGCAUUGAAUCUGCUCACCAAGUAGCACAAACUUUAGAGUCCGAAAGUGGUGGGAUUCUUGUGGCAGUGGAGAGAGUAAGUAAGGGUUACGCAAUCAUCGUGUACCGUGGAAAAAAUUAUAUCCGGCCUGCUAAUUUGAGACCUCAAACACUUCUGACUAAACGAGAAGCACUGAAGCGUUCUAUUGAGGCACAGCGUCGUGAGGUAGAAUUUGCGUUUUAUCUAUUUGUCAUUAUCAAUCUGCAUCCACUAACUUAAAAUGUUUAAGGAAAAAAGAAAGAUAGAAAGAAUCAUAUGAUGCAAGUCCAUUCAUAGAGGCCGGAUUAAUGGCCAAGUUGUCUAAUCCUAUCAAUUCUAAUUCCCCCCUCUAGAUUGAUUUUGGCUGAAACACUGCCUUUUGAUCUUAGAAUGACCUGAAAUGAAAGAUAACGGAUAUAGUUGCAUUGUCAUGUAAAAUCUAUAGGACAAGGAUCUUGGAACAAUCUUGACUGUUUUUGAUGUUGAAAGCUAUUUCAUAGUCUUUUGUAUUGUUCUUACUUUUAUCAUGUCUACUUCAACAUCUGAUUCUGUUUUCUUUUUUCCUGCUGUGAAAUGCAGUCCUUGAAACUUCAUGUUUUAAAGCUUAACAAGAACAUAGAUGAAUUGGAGGAAUUGGUGGUGAGCUUUCCUAUUAUUCUAUAAUUCAAUAUUUUUACUCUAUCCUUUUUGCUUUUUUGCACAUCAAAGAGACAAUUAUACAUUAUUUUCCUGAACCAGGUUAAAGGCAAGGACUCAAACAAUAUGCAUCCAGUUAAUGAAUCAAAGGAAUUGGUGAGCUAUCUGAUGACUAUAUACUUUGAUGUGCAUCAGAUAUUUAGCUGGAUUAUAGUUAACAGUUUUUUUGCGCCACAUAAAUCAGGUCAGGGAGGAGGUAAAUAAUGUUGAAUCAGAAGAAUGUAUGCAUGAAGAGAAUCUCAAGGUAAAGACUACAAAGUAUGAUAAUGUCUCAGACAUCUGUAUAAUAUUUGUAACUUAUAGUUUUGUUCUUCAAAAGUGAUAUCUGAUAAUCUGAUAUAGUGCAUAAAUGUUUUUCAAGGCUAGAGGCAAACAAGAAUCUCAUGUGACCAACAUGAAUUUAAAUGAUGGAAUGGUUGCUGUUGUGAAAGGCCACUUAGCCACACAACAGGGUGAGGGGUAUGGUCUCUCUUCAAGUUGUGAUGGAGAGGAGACUGAUGAAGUGGAAUCAAGGUCUUCGAAUGGAUCAGUUACGAUUGAAUCCCAGGAAAAUUUGUUCAAUAAUGUAAAAGGAGAAGUUGGAAUAUUGAACAAGGCUAGAGACAAACAAGAACUUGAUGGUAUAGAUGCGGAUGCGGAUUUAUUUGAUGGAAUGAGUCCUGUCAUAAAUGGCCAGUUAGCCACACAGCAAGGUAAGGAGAUUACUUUCUCUUUGGCCUACGAUGAGGAUGGGCCUGGUAAAGUUGAAUCAGUAUCUUCAGAUGAAUCUGUUACAAGUAAAACCCAAGUGGAUUUGUUCGAAGAUAUAAAAGAAGAAGCUGGAGUGUUUAUCAAUGCUAGAGAUAACCAAGAUUCGCAGGUGACUCAGAUGGAUUUAAAUGUUGGAACGGGUGCUGUAGUUAACAGCCAAUUAGCCACUCAACAGGAUAAGGAGAUUUUCUCUUUUAUCUGUGAUGAGAAUGAGAGUGGUAAAGUCGAUCCAGGAUCUUCGGUUACAAUUGAUUCCAAUGCAACUUUCUUCAAGGAUAGAAAUAGAGAAGUUGAAGGUUAUGUUUGCCGUGAAGAUGUUAUGGUAAUAUAAAGAUGUCGUAUGCUAGUUGAUAUUAGUUUAUCUUCUUUUCUUUGGCAACCUCUUAUGUUGUCUGGUUUUGUGGUGAUUCCAGUCAAAAGGUCCAAGCAGUUCUGCUAUUCUUGACAAUCAGCAUCGUGUUUUUGAUUAUGAGCUGGAAUCAUCAGGUAGAUCUGGUAAUACUAAAUCAAAAUCUCCAGUUCCAACAAUGGUAAGAAAGACAUUAAAUGAGAUGCCCUCGAGAGCUGUGCAUUUGUCCAACAGUGAGAGGCUUCUACUGCGAAAGCAAGCCCUGAAGAUGAAAAAACGCCCUGUGCUUGCCGUUGGUAAUUUGUUUUCCAUUUUGAGUUUUCUUAUUUCCCUCUUAUUGUUAAACUAUUCUUGCUAAAACAGUUGUUAUUUGAUAGGAAAUGUACUGCACUGAUUUCUAGUUUGUACCUGAACCUUACUUUCGCACCAUGGAUUUUCUUUUUCAUGCUUAUUUUGAAAAUGCUAACUAUCCCUGACAUUAUAUUGGUUCAUGAUUACAUGUCCUAGUAUAUAGAUUGCCAAAAUCCUAAUCUAUAUGCAACCUCAUUAUUUCUGAAGUGUGCUGUUGUUAUCACUUCUUAGGUAGGAACAAUAUUGUAACUGGUGUUGCGAAAGCAAUCAAAGCGCACUUCGAGAGGUAUCCUCUUGCCAUAGUAAAUGUCAAAGGCAGAGCAAAAGGAACUUCAGUAAGGGAAAUUGUUUUUAAGCUGGAGGUGCGCACAAAAAUUCCUCUCUUUUUCUCCCCUAGUUUAGGCUAUUCUGUGCUUCCAUUUAAACUUGUCUGAAUCUCUCUUGUUUAGGCUAUUCUGUGCUUCCAUUGUAACUUGUAUGAAUUUAUUGUUUCUCUUCCACAGCAAGCAACAGGUGCGGUUUUAGUCUCCCAGGAGCCAAGCAAAGUUAUUCUUUACAGGGGUUGGGGUGCAGGAGAUAGUCCUGGAAAUAAUGAUAAGAAGAACACAAUUGGGAAAAAGGUUGCUCCUGUGUCUCCUGAACUCUUGGCAGCAAUAAGACUCGAGUGUGGUUUACAGAACCACGAAAAGGAAGAUGCAACUGCUUAGGUUGGAUCCUAAGCUUGUACCAGAAGUUACCAACUGCAGAGACCAUGCACAUACAAUACCUAGUUAGCAAGAAUUCACAUUCAUUCACAUCAUCAACUUGAGCCUGAACAUAUCCGGAAACUCAUCUACCCCUUUUGGCAUCUCCAAUCCAGGAAUCUAUGAGAUCAUAUCUUCGGAAGAUUCAACAAGCAUCGGUAUGACUUGUAUGCUAAAUAGAUUGUACCCUAUCUGUAUAUAGAAUGCUGUCUUGACAUAUUCAGUGGCUGAUCUGCUACAUUGGAAAUCAGAGAGCUUUGUUUUGGGGUCAAAAUGAGGGUAAUUCACUAUGCACCCUUCUGUAUGUUAAUCUUGAACAUUUUUGUAAACAUACCUAGAGACUGAAAUAGAAGCACCUGUUCUCUCAUCCUAGAGUAAGGUUAGCCAAAAACUCCUGGUAAGGUCGGUCAGGUGCAUCAGACAAUGAGAUAGUUGUGUAGACCCAUCGACUACGACAUAAUAUUGGCCCAUACUCGCUGCAGGCAUGCCUUUCAUUCUUGUUGUCGAUUCUAGGACCAUGUCCCCAACCCCACUUUCUUCUUCCUUCAACAGUUGAACUCCUUUUUUGUCUUUUUACUUCCGUAUUCUUUGAAUCUUUUCUAGGUGGAGGAUUGUGUAAUUUUUGUUAUUCUAUGCCUUCUUCCUGUUGAUAGUUGAGACGAUACGAAGAGUUAAUUAGCGUAAUGAUAAUUCUCUCUAUGUUUAAAGUUGUAUCGGGCUAAAAAGGAGGUAUAAUCUUGUCUGGAAGACAUGUGAAUAUGAACUGCGACUAGUUGUUUUCUAUCAUUAGUCCUGUGUACGUCCAUCUUUUUCUACUAAUGUGUGAUGAACUACAUCCGUAAUUUAGUUGCAUACAACCGUAGCAAUGAAAGAAAAUGGUGAAAAUUACAUGGCUUCAGGCCUUGGUUUCUUUUGAUAUUGAUAAGACUCUGAAGUGUUUCAAUUAUACAGAUAAUAUGAUGACCUGAAAAAACUGAAGCAGCUGAAACCUGAAGCAGCUGGCAACCCCUGGCAUAACAAAUGGGCAUCAGCUAAACUUAAUGCAAGAUAAGUUCUCACAUAGAAGUUACGCAGUACAAUACACACAACAUUGUUAUUAGUAAAAGUGUUGGUAACAUAUUCAACCGUAAGGUGAAGGUGUUGAUUAUAACUAAAUUACGUAUUGAAAUAAAUAUAACCGUCUUCUUUUUUGUUAUAAAUAAACUACUAUAUCAUCGCUUUGCCUUCUUGUCAUUGUACUGGCUCNCCCUUUUUUUUUUUUUUUUUUUGAAUAUCAACGACCGUAUCAUCAAAGACUCACCAGGUCCAGAAACUAAUCCGCGUCGAGAAAUACUUCCUCAUUUAGUUUUACUUAUUUUCCGUCGAAGAAAAACUUUUGACAUAGGACAUUGAUUCUAAUCAAUUAAUUAAUCAUACUUGCAAGUUUAAGAUUGAUCAACCAAAACAUGCAUCUCAACUAAAUCAAACUGAAACUGCUGCUAGUGUAAUUUUCAAAGAGAAAUAUAACAGAUUAUGAGCUUAGUCGAAGCUGGCGCAUGAUAACAUGGACUUGGCGCAUGAUAACAUUGACUAUGACGCCGGAGCAAGAAGCUAGUCAAAUAUGUAACUGUACUGUGUAUGACAUUGGAGAAAAAAACACACUAAUUUUCUCAAUGGUAGAAGACGAAGUUUAACUUGCCCAAAAUCGCAAUAUUGUUUCACACGCGCUUGGAGUUCAGAUGAGACUGGUUAAGCCACACACUUUCUCUCUCUCUAUCAUAUGUCAGAUAGAGAGAGAGAAGAGAGAAAGAGAGAGGAGUCUUGGGCUUCAUAAAUGAAAAUCAUCAUCACACACACUUUUUCUCUCUCUAUCAUAUGUCAGAUAGAGAGAGAGAAGAGAGAAAGAGAGAGGAAGAGAGAGGUAGGCACAAAAAACCUAGAAAUUUAGCUGCCUUUCUUUCAACGCCAGAGGCCAAACGCAAUCAUGCUGUCUUCUCCUUACCUUCUUUAUCGCCAUCAUUGCUCCCACUCCAUCUUCUUCUGCUCCAACCCCUCCUCAACCACCCCACAAAGUCCAGACCAUCAUCAUUAUCACCAACAAAGGAGAAAGAAGAAGAAGAAGAAGAAGAAAGCUUUUCAAGGAAAACCAGAAAGAUCUACCCUAGCUGUUCUCAGCUUUCUCUUUGGUUGCCAGUGAUGAACAAGUGAAAAGUGUGUUUCUGAUCCGACUAUUUCAAAGAUUUUUUCAAGUCUUUGCUUUUGGGGAAUCAAGCAUCAUGGUCCGACUCUACUUCGAUUUGCUUGUGUAUGUUCCAUCAAAGCUGCAUCAGAUCGUUUCUCUAGUUCUUGUAUCGAUCGGUUUGUAGUUCUCUCUCUUGUUUAUGUGAUCCUUGUAGUUGGGAUCUUGUUGGAUAAGGGUUUCUGUCAUUAGGUUACUUAAGAACAAUUAAGUUACUAGCUAGCUAGCUAUUUGGUUACGAAGAAGGUCUUAUGCUCUAUCUCUCUGAUCUGUGUAUGGAUUCCUCUUGUUAAUCAUCAGAUUUGGCGUCUCUUCAACUCAACGUUAGCUUGAAGAUGAUUGAAUUUGUGUGGUUCGAAUUUCCUGGUGAAAUGAUAAUAAGAUAUAUAUUACUGUUGAAAUCCAAUAAUUCUAGAUAUGUAUAUAUGUGAAUGCGUGGUUUGGUACUCUGGUUAGUAUGAACUGUAUGAUUAGUUUCUACUUCAACUUCCUGAUGCAGAAAACUUGAUUAGCUAGUGUAUGAUUGAACCAAAGUAUCGUACUCGGUUAUGUUAAUUAAGUCAUGAGUUCCUUGAAAACUUUUCUUUCUAGCUAGAUCCACUCCAUAAUCCAUAGUAGGGUUUUCAUUUAGAGAUGUGUGAAUUGAUAUAUGUGAUUUCUUAUAUUGAUUAAUGGAGAUUCAGGUAUUGAGUACUGAGUACUGUCGUACUGACCUGAGUAUUUUUUGAAGAUUCUGUUAGCUUCAACAGGAUGAGAAGAAACAAGAACAUAAAACAAAUGUUUGGUACUCAUAAUUAUCUAUGUUCUACUUUAAAUAUCUUUAUAAACUUGAUUACUUUAUAAAGCACGCACCAUAUAUAUAUAAACAGUUAUUCAUGUAGAUACUUCUUCGUCUUCCUCUUCCAUACUGUAUUUAUUUCCCAACAGCAAACACAUGUGUAAGUUGGAUUCUUGAGUGUUCUUCGUCUGGGAAUUUACCAGAUGAUAUAUACUUGAUAGC